Molecule: transfer RNA, 77 nt
Filed under: Candidatus Saccharimonadota bacterium
Lineage: Bacteria; Candidatus Saccharimonadota
Description: tRNA-Arg
Rfam family: tRNA
About the family: Transfer RNA (tRNA) molecules are approximately 80 nucleotides in length. Their secondary structure includes four short double-helical elements and three loops (D, anti-codon, and T loops).
Source: RNAcentral
GCACUCGUAGCUCAGCUGGAUAGAGCGUUGGCUUGCGGAGCCAAAGGUCGUGCGUUCGAAUCGCGCCGGGUGUACCA